UACGUAGGGUGCAAGCGCUGUCCUGAAUUAUUGGGCGUAAAGAGCUCGUAGGCGGUUUGUUGCGUCGGCUGUGAAAUCCCGAGGCUCAACCUCGGGUCUGCAGUCGAUACGAGCAAACUAGAGUGUUGCAGGGGAGACUGGAAUUCCUGGUGUAGCGGUGAAAUGCGCAGAUAUCAGGAGGAACACCGGUGGCGAAGGCGGGUCUCUGGGCCAUCACUGACGCUGAGGAGCGAAAGCGUGGGGAGCGAACAGG
RNAcentral lists this ribosomal RNA (253 nucleotides) under uncultured bacterium. RNAcentral describes it as "partial 16S ribosomal RNA". It matches the Rfam family "Bacterial small subunit ribosomal RNA", at positions 524 to 776 of the family's 1533-position model. The record is from RNAcentral.